This 749-nucleotide long non-coding RNA is filed under the name Prunus dulcis (almond). RNAcentral's name for it is "sRNA ncRNA". Lineage: Eukaryota; Viridiplantae; Streptophyta; Magnoliopsida; Rosales; Rosaceae. The record is from RNAcentral.
AUGGGUGGCCAUUAUCAAGUUCCAGUGGGCUACAAGUUCAGGCCUUCAGAAGAAGAACUAUUUCUUCACUACCUUCUCCCCAAACUCAACGGAGAGGACUAUCCCAUAGGCAUUGUUCCUGACUGCGAUCUCUACGGUACAAAAGAACCAUGGGAAAUAUGGAGAGACUUCCACCACUCAUCACCAGAUGAUCAAGAAGACAUCUACGUCUUCACCACACUCAAGAAGAAGACUCCAAAUGGCAAGCGGUUUUGCAGAACAGUUGGCGCUGCCGGUACCGGAGUUUGGAAUGGAGAAGACUCCGGCAAGAAAAUACGUGCUUGUGGGAGUGAUAUUGGGAUCAGAAAACGAUUUCGGUACAUGAACCCUGGCUCGCCCCAUGAUGACCGAUGGAUCAUGCAUGAGUUCCAACUUGAUGAAUCUCUACUACGAGUGCGGAACAAAGAGACAAUUGUUCUUUGUCUUGUUAGAAAGAAAGAAACAUCGGGCAAAAGAAAGUUAGAAGAACUACAAGAUCAUGAAGACGUGCCUCCCCGUGGAGAAAUCCAAGCCCAACAUGUUCAUGAUGAUCAGCAGCACCAUAUUGGCCCAAGUACUUAUGAUCAACUUAGGGUUUUGGACCUUACGAACGAUGUGGAGGGUGAAGAUGACAUGGUUAAUCCAACUUUGCUUGCACAGUACGAUCAGCAGGAGCAUCUUGGCACAAGUACUGAUGAUCAACUUAUUAGGUUUUUAGAGGAUUACCUGGA